UACGAAGGGGGCUAGCGUUGUUCGGAAUUACUGGGCGUAAAGCGCACGUAGGCGGAUACUUAAGUCAGGGGUGAAAUCCCGAGGCUCAACCUCGGAACUGCCUUUGAUACUGGGUAUCUCGAGUCCGGAAGAGGUGAGUGGAAUUCCGAGUGUAGAGGUGAAAUUCGUAGAUAUUGGGAAGAACACCAGUGGCGAAGGCGGCUAACUGGUCCAGUACUGACGCUGAGGUGCGAAAGCGUGGGGAGCAAACAGG
RNAcentral lists this ribosomal RNA (253 nucleotides) under uncultured bacterium. Its description in RNAcentral is "partial 16S ribosomal RNA". It matches the Rfam family "Bacterial small subunit ribosomal RNA", at positions 524 to 776 of the family's 1533-position model. The record is from RNAcentral.